Pelobates cultripes (western spadefoot toad) is the source of this 81-nucleotide non-coding RNA. Lineage: Eukaryota; Metazoa; Chordata; Amphibia; Anura; Pelobatidae. The record is from the annotation of a GenBank genome assembly.
GUUUGCUUCUGGCAACAAUAUCCUGAUGCUGUCUGAGUGUGAGGCGAAUCUCCAGCAUCAGUGAUUUUGUUGUUAGUAGUA